GGCAGAACCGCAGCACGGGUUGGCUGGACCCCUGUCCUUCCCGGUGUGUACGCAUCACGGACACUGGCCUCAGCUAUCUGUCCACCAUGUCGUCCCUCCGCAGCCUCUACCUGCGAUGGUGCUGCCAGGUGCAAGACUUCGGGCUGAAGCACCUCCUGGCCCUGGGGA
RNAcentral lists this small RNA (168 nucleotides) under Pongo abelii (Sumatran orangutan). RNAcentral describes it as "processed transcript". Lineage: Eukaryota; Metazoa; Chordata; Mammalia; Primates; Hominidae. The record is from RNAcentral.